GGGUUGUGAGGUUAAGCGACUAAGCGUACACGGUGGAUGCCCUGGCAGUCAGAGGCGAUGAAGGACGUGCUAAUCUGCGAAAAGCGACGGCGAGGUGAUAUGAACCUUUGACCCGUCGAUGUCCGAAUGGGGAAACCCAGUGCAAUCCGUUGCACUAUCGUUAACUGAAUACAUAGGUUAACGAGGCGAACCGGGGGAACUGAAACAUCUAAGUACCCCGAGGAAAAGAAAUCAACCGAGAUUCCCCCAGUAGCGGCGAGCGAACGGGGAGCAGCCCGGAGUCUGAAUCAGCUUGUGUGUUAGUGGAACGGUCUGGAAAGUCCGACGGUACAGGGUGAUAGUCCCGUACACGAAAACACACUUGCUGUGAACUCGAAGAGUAGGGCGGGACACGUGGUAUCCUGUCUGAAUAUGGGGGGACCAUCCUCCAAGGCUAAAUACUCCUGACUGACCGAUAGUGAACCAGUACCGUGAGGGAAAGGCGAAAAGAACCCCGGCGAGGGGAGUGAAAAAGAACCUGAAACCGUGUACGUACAAGCAGUGGGAGCCUCUUUAUGGGGUGACUGCGUACCUUUUGUAUAAUGGGUCAGCGACUUAUAUUCUGUAGCAAGGUUAACCGUAUAGGGGAGCCGAAGGGAAACCGAGUCUUAACUGGGCGUUAAGUUGCAGGGUAUAGACCCGAAACCCGGUGAUCUAGCCAUGGGCAGGUUGAAGGUUGGGUAACACUAACUGGAGGACCGAACCGACUAAUGUUGAAAAAUUAGCGGAUGACCUGUGGCUGGGGGUGAAAGGCCAAUCAAACCGGGAGAUAGCUGGUUCUCCCCGAAAGCUAUUUAGGUAGCGCCUCGUGAACUCAUCUUCGGGGGUAGAGCACUGUUUCGGCUAGGGGGCCAUCCCGGCUUACCAACCCGAUGCAAACUACGAAUACCGAAGAAUGUUAUCACGGGAGACACACGGCGGGUGCUAACGUCCGUCGUGAAGAGGGAAACAACCCAGACCGCCAGCUAAGGUCCCAAAGUCAUGGUUAAGUGGGAAACGAUGUGGGAAGGCACAGACAGCCAGGAUGUUGGCUUAGAAGCAGCCAUCAUUUAAAGAAAGCGUAAUAGCUCACUGGUCGAGUCGGCCUGCGCGGAAGAUGUAACGGGGCUAAACCAUGCACCGAAGCUGCGGCAGCGACACUAUGUGUUGUUGGGUAGGGGAGCGUUCUGUAAGCCGUUGAAGGUGGCCUGUGAGGGUUGCUGGAGGUAUCAGAAGUGCGAAUGCUGACAUAAGUAACGAUAAAGCGGGUGAAAAGCCCGCUCGCCGGAAGACCAAGGGUUCCUGUCCAACGUUAAUCGGGGCAGGGUGAGUCGACCCCUAAGGCGAGGCCGAAAGGCGUAGUCGAUGGGAAACAGGUUAAUAUUCCUGUACUUGGUGUUACUGCGAAGGGGGGACGGAGAAGGCUAUGUCAGCCGGGCGACGGUUGUCCCGGUUUAAGCAUGUAGGCGGAGGUUCCAGGUAAAUCCGGUACCUUUUAACGCUGAGGUGUGAUGACGAGGCACUACGGUGCUGAAGUGAUAAAUGCCCUGCUUCCAGGAAAAGCCUCUAAGCAUCAGGUAACACGAAAUCGUACCCCAAACCGACACAGGUGGUCAGGUAGAGAAUACCAAGGCGCUUGAGAGAACUCGGGUGAAGGAACUAGGCAAAAUGGUGCCGUAACUUCGGGAGAAGGCACGCUGAUAUGUAGGUGAAGUCCCUGCGGACGGAGCUGAAAUCAGUCGAAGAUACCAGCUGGCUGCAACUGUUUAUUAAAAACACAGCACUGUGCAAACACGAAAGUGGACGUAUACGGUGUGACGCCUGCCCGGUGCCGGAAGGUUAAUUGAUGGGGUUAGCGGCAACGCGAAGCUCUUGAUCGAAGCCCCGGUAAACGGCGGCCGUAACUAUAACGGUCCUAAGGUAGCGAAAUUCCUUGUCGGGUAAGUUCCGACCUGCACGAAUGGCGUAAUGAUGGCCAGGCUGUCUCCACCCGAGACUCAGUGAAAUUGAACUCGCUGUGAAGAUGCAGUGUACCCGCGGCAAGACGGAAAGACCCCGUGAACCUUUACUAUAGCUUGACACUGAACACUGGUCCUUGAUGUGUAGGAUAGGUGGGAGGCUUUGAAGCGUGGACGCCAGUCUGCGUGGAGCCAACCUUGAAAUACCACCCUUUAAUGGCUGGUGUUCUAACGUAGACCCGUAAUCCGGGUUGCGGACAGUGUCUGGUGGGUAGUUUGACUGGGGCGGUCUCCUCCCAAAGAGUAACGGAGGAGCACGAAGGUUGGCUAAUCCUGGUCGGACAUCAGGAGGUUAGUGCAAUGGCAUAAGCCAGCUUGACUGCGAGCGUGACGGCGCGAGCAGGUGCGAAAGCAGGUCAUAGUGAUCCGGUGGUUCUGAAUGGAAGGGCCAUCGCUCAACGGAUAAAAGGUACUCCGGGGAUAACAGGCUGAUACCGCCCAAGAGUUCAUAUCGACGGCGGUGUUUGGCACCUCGAUGUCGGCUCAUCACAUCCUGGGGCUGAAGUAGGUCCCAAGGGUAUGGCUGUUCGCCAUUUAAAGUGGUACGCGAGCUGGGUUUAGAACGUCGUGAGACAGUUCGGUCCCUAUCUGCCGUGGGCGCUGGAGAAUUGAGGGGGGCUGCUCCUAGUACGAGAGGACCGGAGUGGACGCAUCACUGGUGUUCGGGUUGUCAUGCCAAUGGCACUGCCCGGUAGCUAAAUGCGGAAGAGAUAAGUGCUGAAAGCAUCUAAGCACGAAACUUGCCCCGAGAUGAGUUCUCCCUGAGACUUUAAGUCUCCUGAAGGAACGUUGAAGACGACGACGUUGAUAGGUCGGGUGUGUAAGCGCAGCGAUGCGUUGAGCUAACCGAUACUAAUGAACCGUGAGGCUUAACCUUACAACGCCGAAG
Molecule: ribosomal RNA, 2925 nt
Filed under: Enterobacter cloacae
Lineage: Bacteria; Pseudomonadati; Pseudomonadota; Gammaproteobacteria; Enterobacterales; Enterobacteriaceae
Description: 23S ribosomal RNA
Rfam family: Bacterial large subunit ribosomal RNA
Source: RNAcentral